Molecule: non-coding RNA, 45 nt
Organism: Camponotus floridanus (Florida carpenter ant)
Lineage: Eukaryota; Metazoa; Arthropoda; Insecta; Hymenoptera; Formicidae
Source: Rfam
CCAACGGCCCUUCUCAGGGCCAUGUAAAUAUCAAAGUGUAAAAUA